UACGAGGAGAGCAACCGUUAUCCGGAAUUAUUGGGCGUAAAGCGUGCGCAAGCGGUUUUGUAAGUGAUGUGUUAAAUUCCAAAGCUCAACUUUGGAACUGCGCGUCAUACUGCAAGACUCGAGUCAAGUAGAGGCAAACGGAAUUCCCGGUGUAGUAGUGAAAUGCGUUAAUAUCGGGAGGAACGCCAAAAGCGAAAGCAGUUUGCUGGGCUUGUACUGACGCCGUUGCACGACAGCGUGGGGAUCAAACAGG
Molecule: ribosomal RNA, 253 nt
Filed under: uncultured bacterium
Lineage: Bacteria
Description: partial 16S ribosomal RNA
Rfam family: Bacterial small subunit ribosomal RNA
Source: RNAcentral